AAAAUAUGAUAUUUGAAUUCUUACCUGUAUACUGGACAUAUGUUAAGUGAUAUCUUCAAUCAUGUUUUCACUGUUUUUUUUCAGACUCUCUGGAAUGUUGCCUUACUAUCAAUUUCACAUCUGACCUCCAAAAUAUUAGUACCAUGAAAAAGUUGAAGCCAACAGAAUGAGGAAAUAGUACUCAAACCUUUCAACUCUGCCUUUACAAAGACAAUGUAUCUGAAAAGAAAGACCUAUCACCAAGGAAACCUGAAAUCACCAAUCUUUCCAUUUCCCAGAAUGUACUUGCAAGCUGGUACCCACUUUUCAGGCAAGUUUCACUGCCAUUGAUUCGAGGGCAGGAGGAAGAAGAAUGGCCCA
RNAcentral lists this long non-coding RNA (360 nucleotides) under Vulpes vulpes (red fox). Its description in RNAcentral is "lncRNA (ENSVVUG00000013670.1)". The record is from RNAcentral. Lineage: Eukaryota; Metazoa; Chordata; Mammalia; Carnivora; Canidae.